This 1499-nucleotide long non-coding RNA is filed under the name Cricetulus griseus (Chinese hamster). RNAcentral's name for it is "lncRNA (ENSCGRG00015004005.2)". Lineage: Eukaryota; Metazoa; Chordata; Mammalia; Rodentia; Cricetidae. The record is from RNAcentral.
GCAAGGGCAAGAAGGAAGUCGUCCCUUUUUCUCUUCUUCCUGCUCUGCUCUGAAGCUGCCAUGUGAUCCCGGCGAGAGAAGACGCCAGCAGCUAGCGUCCGAUAAGAUAAUUCUUUAUGGUUGAUACUUAAGACUGAGCUAGCAAGUAAGAAAUCCUACUCAGUUGGCCAAGCAGCAUUUGUACCUAAUCAGGGAGCACUAGAAAUGAAUGCGAGCAGAAUGCAACUGGAGAUGGCUUUAAAUAAUGCAGAUAACCAGAACCAUGGAAUCUUUAUGUCUAAUAUCUACUUAUGAAGCCAUUUUCUCUGUUGCACCCGGAGAGCUGAGGUCUACAUGCAAGGGAGAAGAAGCAUGGUCCUCAGGCAGUGGAUCUGCUAGUGCUCUGGUGAGACACAUGAAUCCCCUCUAAUGCUAUGGAUGACAGCCAUGAUGGGAUGUGGCAAUUGACAACAUCCCAGAGUAGGCAUCUGGGUGAUGAAGCUUAAGGUCAUCUGAAGAAUCCUGGCCCUCUUGCCUCUAGUCACGGUGGCUGGAGGGAGUAGCUAUUAGCUCCGCAGUCUGUGUAUACCCAGCUGUAUCAAGCACUACUCUGAUCCAGGACUUCGCAAAGUCAACAGGUCUACUGGACAACAUGAACAACACCCUCCAUUCCAACUUUCACAUCUGAAAGAGGUGGAAAGGAACUGAGGGCUGAGCAGCCGGAACCCGCCUCUGUAUGUUUGCCAUCAGGGUCUGAGGCAGAGUUCUGUGGAGGAGCUCUGUAUUCCCUUUCUGCCCCACUCUCCUCCAAUGCCUCACUGGGUCAAGCCAAGGAAUUUUAGGUGGGAGAGCCACACAGCACAGGUAUCUGCAGAAAGGGCAUCCAGAAUGUGGGAGCAGCUACAGAGAGCCCAUCAGAGGACCCUGGAAGGUUCAGGGACUUAUGCACAACCUCUGACCAAAUGCAAGCUAAACAAAAUUGCUCUGUCCCAGAGUAAACCUAGGGCAACUCAAGGAAGCCAGGUGCAAAGAGUCACUCUUGGUUGCCUGGGAACACCUUUUCAUGAAGGACAACCAGGAGCUGUUAAUCCUGGCAGAAGACAGGGAAUGACCACAAACUCACACACCACGUAGGCAGGAUCUAGGCUAUACUCAAGGGCCCUGUGUUAAAUAGAAAAUGGAAUUGGCUGAGAGUGUAUGCUAUUUGGAGCUGGCAGUAGUCCUGCAAUCCUAGCUACUCAGUGGGCAACUUAUUGGACAAUUUAGUGAGAUCAAUAAAAAGGAAGAAAAUGGGGUUGGGAAUAUAGCUUAGUGUCUGUGAGGUUCUAGGUUCAAUUCCCAGUGCUGAGAAGGAAGGGAAGGAGGGAAAGAGCAGAAAGACCAAGCUUGGCUUGGCUUGGCGUGGGUUACUUGGCACUUUUGGCCUCUGGCCCAUUUUAUCCUGCUAUGCAUCUUCUGAUGUAUGCAGUGCAUGUGAGAUCCAUUUAUUCCACUAGUUACUGAGCACUGUCUGGACACUG